Molecule: ribosomal RNA, 443 nt
Filed under: uncultured bacterium
Lineage: Bacteria
Description: partial 16S ribosomal RNA
Rfam family: Bacterial small subunit ribosomal RNA
Source: RNAcentral
CCUACGUGAGGCAGCAGUGGGGAAUAUUGGGCAAUGGGCGCAAGCCUGACCCAGCAACGCCGCGUGAAGGAAGAAGGCUUUCGGGUUGUAAACUUCUUUUCUCAGGGACGAAGAAAGUGACGGUACCUGAGGAAUAAGCCACGGCUAACUACGUGCAAGCAGCCGCGGUAAUCCGUAGGUGGCAAGCGUUAUCCGGAUUUAGUGGGUGUAAAGGGCGUGUAGCCGGGAGCGCAAGUCAGAUGUGAAAACUCAGGGCUCAACCCUGAGCCUGCAUUUGAAACUGUGUUUCUUGAGUGCUGUAGAGGCAGUCGGAAUUCCGUGUGUAGCGGUGAAAUGCGUAGAUAUACGGAGGAACACCAGUGGCGAAGGCGGAUUGCUGGACAGUAACUGACGCUGAGGCGCGAAAGCGUGGGGAGCAAACAGGAUUAGAUACCCUAGUAGUC